Molecule: long non-coding RNA, 293 nt
Filed under: Gossypium raimondii (Peruvian cotton)
Lineage: Eukaryota; Viridiplantae; Streptophyta; Magnoliopsida; Malvales; Malvaceae
Description: long non-coding RNA (GRAI_LNC000252)
Source: RNAcentral
CUCUUAGGUCUUGGUAAUCUCCUACUGUAUCAUGCGGAGCUCCUUCUGUAAAUGCAUGGACACGCCAUCACUAGCCAUGGAUGGGAUUAUAAUAGCUCUAAUAGCUUUGAUAUGACCUGGAAUUUAGAAAAAAAAUAACAGAAGAAAAGAAGGAAAAGAGAAAGAAAGAAAUAGAGAGAAGAGAAAUAACAGAAGAAAAGAAGGAGAAGACAAAGAAAGAAAUAGGGAGAAAAAAAUGUUUUCUAUAAUUCAAUUCUAGAAUUCACAUAACCACCUCCUUAACAACUGAAAAC